AUGAAGAAGAUGAAACAAUGGUGUCUGUAUUGCCAGUGGCAGCACAGCAAUCCAGGACUGGACAUGGUGUGGUUAUUAGUGAUCUGGAGGUUCUCCAUAAACACCAGAAGAUGCAUGGGCAUGCUUUUCAUUACUCACUGGAGAGGCAGCUCAGCAGCUGAGCUUAUACAGUAUAGCAUCAAGGCUUCGUGCUAUCUAUCUCGUCAGUUUCACAGCCUCAUCUUCAGUUUUUGCUAAAGAGAAGUCCAAGCAAGGAUUUUCAGCCAACAGUUACUUCCAACUUCUUCCAAAAGAAGACAUCUGUGCAUUGAAGAUCUGUAUCAGUCACAUCUCAGUUGCUGCUGCAAGACCACUAAGGUGAAAAACACUUUCACAUCUGAGUGAUCCUUUCUGACAUAAGUGGAGAGCGGACGCAUGCUUAUCUAUUACAUCAUCAGGAGACUGAUUUGUAGAUCUCUGCUUUCAGAGAUCUACAUUUCUCAACAUUUCAAACAUACAGAUCUCAACAUUUCAAAGAUAGGAAGCAAAGAUACUAAAGUACAGGUAUAAUGAACCAUUGCAAAAUAAAUAAAUAGAGGACAAAGAAGUUUUUGUAACU
RNAcentral lists this long non-coding RNA (598 nucleotides) under Coturnix japonica (Japanese quail). RNAcentral's name for it is "lncRNA (ENSCJPG00005006575.1)". Lineage: Eukaryota; Metazoa; Chordata; Aves; Galliformes; Phasianidae. The record is from RNAcentral.